AAAAAGACAAAUAUUGUGUUUCUGUGUCCAACGUUUGACCGUCCGUAUUAUUUAAAAAAAAUAUAAAAAAAUAAAAGAUAAGUCACGUAUAAGGUAUAAAUCAUGUUUUAUCAUCUAUCAACAAUGAACAUACUAAUUAUAAAAAAGAUUUAUAUAAGACGGACAGUCAAAUAUUGGACAUGAAAACUUAGGGUUUGCUUUUUU
Molecule: non-coding RNA, 204 nt
Organism: Oryza nivara
Lineage: Eukaryota; Viridiplantae; Streptophyta; Magnoliopsida; Poales; Poaceae
Source: Rfam